CCUGAGAAACCCAAAAGAUCGAUCGGGGAGAUUCAUCGUCAGCGAUUCUGGUACGUGCGCGGUUCGCGAUGCCGCGGGACCCUCGGUCCCGUGGCACGCGUCCGCGCAUGGUUUUAUUGCCAGGUGUCGUCGGCGUGCACUUCUCCCCUAGUAGGACGUCGCGACCCGUUGGGUGUCGGUCUACGGCCCGGAUGGUAGCCUGUCGUGUGUCGCGCCUUGUGCCGAUAUGCGGCAGACCCCCGGUCGCCCGACCGGCUGCCCGGCGGUAUUCGCACGGUAUCGAGCCGCAAAUAUUUGAACUGCGUCCGGCCCGCCGCAAGCGAGGUCAGUGUUUCCCGGAUGUGCGGACCUAGCGCCGUCACCGGGCCUGGCCAGCUGUUGGUCGGCGGUGUCCUGGGACUGGCUCACAAUUUGAAUUAUGAUACCGGUCGGCGACGCUACUGCUUUGGGUACUUUCAGGACCCGUCUUGAAACACGGA
This 479-nucleotide ribosomal RNA is filed under the name Lissonota sp. BF000898. RNAcentral describes it as "eukaryotic LSU rRNA". Lineage: Eukaryota; Metazoa; Arthropoda; Insecta; Hymenoptera; Ichneumonidae. The record is from RNAcentral.